UUUUUUUGUUUUUUAUUUCUGUUUUUUUAUUAAAGCAUAAUUGAUUUACAAUGUUGUGCCAAUUUCUGCUGUACAGCAAAAUGACUCAGUCAUACACACACACACACACACACACAUUAUCUUUUUCUAUAUUGUUUUCCAUCACGGUCCUAUCCCAGGAGAUUGGAUAUAGUUUCCUGUGCUAUACAGCAGGACCCUGUUUAUCCAUUCUAAACGUAAUAGUUUUUGUAUCAACUAACCCCAAACUCCCAGUCUAUCCCAUUCCCUCCCCCUUUCCCCUUGGCAACCACAAUUCUGUUCUCUAUGUCUGUGAGUUUGUUUCUGUUUUGCAGAUAGGUUCAUUUGUGCCAUAUUUUAGAUUCCACAUAUAAGUGAUAUAAUGUAUUUGUCUUCCUCUUCCUAACUACCUCUCUCAGUAUGAGCAUCUCUAGUUGCUUCCACAUUGCUGUAAAUGGCAUUACUUCACUUUUUAUGGCUAAGUAGUAUUCCAUUGCAUAUGAAUACAAUAUCUUUUUAAUUGUGACACAGGCUUGAUCCCUGGCCCAGGAAAUUCCUCAUGCUGCAGCUGUGGCAAAGAAAGAGAGAAAGAGAGAAAGAGAGAGAGAGAGAGAGAGAGAGAGAGAGAGAGAAAGAGAGAAAGAGAGAGAGAAAGAAAGAGAGAAAGAGAGAAAGAAAGAGAGAAAGAGAGAAAGAGAGAAAGAAAGAAAGAAAGAAAGAAAGAAAGAAAGAAAGAAAGAAAGAAAGAAAGAAAGAAAGGAAGGAAGGAAGGAAGGAAGGAAGGAAGGAAGGAAGGAAGGAAGGAAAGAAGGAAGGAAAGAAGGAAGGAAAGAAGGAAAGAAGGAAAGAAGGAAAGAAGGAAAGAAAAAGAAAGAGAGAAAUGAGAGAUAUGGCUGAACUUGUCUCUGGUUCCUAGAGGUACCCUUCAAAUACUUGGAAAUUUCCUGAGUGGUAGAAGUGUCUUUGUUAUUCAUGGUCAAUCCCUUAAACAACACUUGAUAGUUUAUGCUAAGAAGGUGACUCAUGAUGGACCCCUCAAUAGUUUCUAAUAAUGAGAUGACUCAGGCUGGGAGCUAGCCACACCAGAAGAACCACCCAUUUGACUAGUGAGUUUGGGCUUUGAGCCACAUGAAUGCAGUUUGAUCUCCAGAGAAGAGAUAAAGGUUGAGUUCAACCUCAAUCAUGUCUAUGUAAUGAAACUCCAGUAAAUUCUGGACACCGAAGUUCAGGUGAGCUUCCCUGGCUAACAGUACUCUGUGUAAAUUGCUACAUAACAAUGAGCUAAAAAUGCUGAAGUGUCCUGACUCCACUGGGAGAGGAGGAGAGCUUUGCAUCUGGGACCUUCCCAUGACUUCUCCCUAUGUAUCUCUUCUUCAGGGUGUCCUGAUUUGCCUUUUUUUUUGGGGGGGGGGCUAUAGUAAAUUUUUUACCAUAAUUAUAGCACCUUCCUAAGUUUUGUGAGUUGUUCCAGUGAACUAUCAAAAUUGAGGGGAUGGUGGAAAUCUCCAAAUUUGUAGCCAGUUGGUCAGAAGUGCAGGUGUCACGGGAACCCUUGGGCUUUGAUAAGUAAAAAAAAUGAUAAUAAUAAGAGCAAAAACAAACAAAUGGGACAUAAACUUAAAAUCUUUUGCACAGCAAAGGAAACCAUUGUCAAAAUGAAAAGAUAACCUACUAAAUGAGAGAAUAUAUUUGCAAAUGAUAUGACCAUAAGAGAUUAAUAUCCAAAAUACAUAAACAGCUUAUAUAAUUCAAUAUCAAAACAAGACCUGAUUAAAAAAUAGGCAAAAGACUUGAAUAGACAUUUUGGCCGUAAUGGCCAUUUAGGCCAUUACAGAUGACCAACAGGCACAUGAAAAAAUGCUCAACAUCACUAAUUAUCAUAGAAAUGCAAACCAAAACCACAAUGAAAUAUCACCUCACACCUGACUAUCAUCAAAAAGUCUACAAUUAACAAAUGUUGGCAAGGAUGUAGAGCAAAGUGAACACUCAGACACUGUUGGGGGGAAUGUAAAGCAGUGUGCAGCCACUAUGAAAGUUCCUUAAAAAGCUAAAAAUAGAACUAACAUAUGAUCCAGCAAUUUCACUCUUGUAAAACACUAAUUUGCAAAGAUAUAUCUUUUAUAUAUCCCAAUUUAUUAUUUAUAACAGCCAAGACAUGGAAGUAACACAAGUACCCAUCAGUAUAUGACUGUAUUAAUAAGAUGUUAGAGGAGUUCCCACCGUGUCUCAGUGGAAGCGAAUCUGACUAGCACCCAUGAAGACAGCGGUUCAAUCCCUGGACUUGCUCAGUGGGUUAAGUAUUUGGCAGUGCUGUGAGCUGUGUAUAGGUUGAAAAUGGGGCUUGGGUCCCAUGUUGCUGUGGCUGUGCUCUGAUUCGGCUCCUAGCCUAGGAACUUCUAUAUGCCACAGGUGCAUCCCUAAAAAGCAAAAAAACACAACAAAACAAAACAAAAUAAAACAAAAACACUUUCAAAGCAAUCUUUGACAAAUGAAGUGGGUCGCUGAGCUCAGGACCCAGAGGACCCCAACUUAAUCUUGAUUAUGCACCUACCAUGCUUUACAUGAAUUAUCAUAUUCUCAUACCAAUCCCUCAAAGUGGCUGUAUUACUUUUCCUACUUUACAAAUGAAAUGAAGGCUUAGAGAGAUUAAGCAGUUUUCUCAAUUACAUUUGGCAUCACAGCCUAGUGAGUGAUGAAACCAGGACUAAAUGCCAAGUAUGUCUGACUCUUUCAAUCUUUCACUGUUUUCUUGGGGUUAUUUUGCAUAACAUGACCACCUAAAAUGUCAGCAGCAUUUUCUUUUCCUAGAAUAUGAAAUAUAACCCCAUUCCCCAGCCCCAAGUCUCUCUUUUCCCCACAGGAUUUCCUUCCCUCCUCCCAUUUCAUGCUUUCUUCCUUUCCCUCUCCCCUCCCCCUCCCUCUCUUUUUCUUUGUCUUAAAAAAAAAAGUAGUUCCUAUCUGAGUUAUGGGUAAGAAAAAUCAAAAGUACAAUGAGGUACUACCUGACACCAGUUAGAGUGGCCAUCAUUAGCAAGUCAACAACCAACAAAUGCUGGAGAGGAGGUGAAAAUAAGGGAACCCUCCUUCACUGUUGGUAAGAAUAUAAAUUGGUACAACCACUAUGGAAAACAGUAUGGAAAUACCUCAGAAAACUAAAUAUAAAACUACCAUAUGACCCAGUAAUCCCACUCCUGGACAUAUAUCCAGACAAAACUUUCAUUGAAAAAGAUACAUCACCUGUAUGUUCAUCACAGCACUAUUCACAAUAGUCAAGACACAGAAACAACCUAAAUGCCCACUGACAGGUUAAUGGAUUAAGAAGAUGUGGUACAUAUACAAUGGAAUACUACUCAUACACAAAAAGGAAAAAAUAAUGCCAUUUGCAGCAACAUGAACGGAACUAGAGACUCUCAUACUGAGUGAAGUAAGUCAGAAAGACAGACGUGAUAUGAUGUCACUUAUAUGUGGAGUCUAAAAUAUGGCAUAAAUCAUCUACCCACAAAACAGAAACAGAUCACAGACAUGGAGGACAGACUUGUGUUUGCCAGUGGGGAGGUGGGAGAGGGGGGUGAUAACAGGGAAUUUGGGGUUGGCAGAUGUAGACCAUUAUGUUUAGAACAGAUGGGUGAUGAGGUCCUGCUGUACAACACAGGGAACUGUAUCCAGUCUCUUGGGUAAGAACCUGAUAGAAAAUGAAAAAGGGGGGGGGGUGUACGUAUGGGUGGCUAGGUCACUUUGCUGUACAGCAGAAAUUGAAGGAACACUGUAAAUCAACUAUAUUUUAAUAAAAUUUUUAAAAAGAAGUCCUUCCUGGGAGUUCCCGUCGUGGCACAGUGGUU
RNAcentral lists this long non-coding RNA (3836 nucleotides) under Sus scrofa (pig). RNAcentral's name for it is "lncRNA (ENSSSCG00035031500.1)". The record is from RNAcentral. Lineage: Eukaryota; Metazoa; Chordata; Mammalia; Artiodactyla; Suidae.